This 460-nucleotide ribosomal RNA is filed under the name uncultured bacterium. Its description in RNAcentral is "partial 16S ribosomal RNA". It matches the Rfam family "Bacterial small subunit ribosomal RNA", at positions 338 to 795 of the family's 1533-position model. The record is from RNAcentral.
CCUACGGGCGGCAGCAGUGAGGAAUAUUGGUCAAUGGACGAGAGUCUGAACCAGCCAAGUAGCGUGAAGGAUGACUGCCCUCUGGGUUGUAAACUUCUUUUAUAUGGGAAUAAAAUGUUCCACGUGUGGGAUUUUGUAUGUACCAUAUGAAUAAGGAUCGGCUAACUCCGUGCCAGCAGCCGCGGUAAUACGGAGGAUCCGCGCGGUAUCCGGAUUUAUUGGGUUUAAAGGGAGCGUAGGUGGAUUGUUAAGUCAGUUGUGAAAGUUUGCGGCGCAACCGUAAAAGUGCAGUUGAAACUGGCAGUCUGGAGUACAGUAGAGGUGGGCGGAAUUCGUGGUGUAGCGGUGAAAUGCUUAGAUAUCACGAAGAACUCCGAUUGCGAAGGCAGCUCACUGGACUGCAACUGACACUGAGGCUCGAAAGUGUGGGUAUCAAACAGGAUUAGAUACCCCAGUAGUC